UAAUUGAAGAGUUUGAUCAUGGCUCAGAUUGAACGCUGGCGGCAGGCCUAACACAUGCAAGUCGAGCGGCAGCACAGAGGAACU
RNAcentral lists this ribosomal RNA (84 nucleotides) under Vibrio cholerae. Its description in RNAcentral is "partial 16S ribosomal RNA". It matches the Rfam family "Bacterial small subunit ribosomal RNA", at positions 1 to 84 of the family's 1533-position model. Lineage: Bacteria; Pseudomonadati; Pseudomonadota; Gammaproteobacteria; Vibrionales; Vibrionaceae. The record is from RNAcentral. RNAcentral also lists the same sequence under 1 other name.